AAGAGGACAUUAUUUUGGGAAUUUAGAAUUACACUUUGAUGAUGAUAAAUCUGAAAUAUAGGAUCAUUCUAUCCACUCUAACUUCACACUCUAAGGUUUACAUUAGGGAGUUUGUAUUAUCAGAAUUGAAAAUGUGCUCUCAUUCAUCCUCAGUGUGGAGCUCAGCAUAGAGUGAAUUCUGAAAGGUAAUGUUUAAUGUACAAAAAAUAGAUCGAACAAAAGAAACAAAGACAAACAGUGCCACUUAAACUGAGAAAACUGGGCCUUUGUUUCCCUUGUUUAACCAGGUAAAACUCACUGACAUAAAGACAACUGAAGGAGACAUCUUUGUCAUUGGCAAACUCAAAACCUCCCUAAUAAAUUAAAGAUUAUAUACAUUACAUUACUGAAAAUAACGGUUAUGUUCAUUAUAGAUUCAUCUGGAAAUAUUUUUCUCGAUCAGUUGAUUAAUCGUUAAUUUACCACAUCAAUGUUCUAUCAUAUAUGUCAAAGAAAAAGAAAAUCUUCACAUUCAAGAAGCCUUGUGUCACAGAUCCACAUCCUCCUGCUUUUACUCUCUCCGGCCACAGGGUGGCACUGGCGGGCUCAACAAACUUAAGCUCAGCUACGUAAGGUAUCGUAAAAUAAACAAAGCAAACAAAGAAUCAUGAGCCAGGCGGUGGGACUACUUUAAACUAUGGCUGUUUAUGGAGCUUAUCUUGAUGCUAGCUAGUCCCGCGACAGUCAUCUCUCCUGUGGAACCAGGCCCAUGAUGACGUCUCCAGAUUCCUUGUUUUGUCCGAGCAUCAAUCCAACACCCAAAGUGAGCAGUGAAUACUUUCUUACCUGGGUCACAUUCCCUUCAGUUGUUAGAGGUGGAAAACCAUGAGGAUUUUCAAGACCGUGCCACACACUGGACUGAAUGGAAAGAACUUAGUUAUCCUUUAAUCGCUUCUCCCAUCACAGAUCCACAUCCUCCUGCUUUUAGUCUCUCCGGCCACAGGGCGGCACUGGCGGGCUCAACAAACCUAAGCUCAGCUACGCAGCUGCCCAAGGUAUCGUAAAAUAAACAAAGCAGACAAUAAGAUAAGACAGCUACAAAGCUGAAGAGCACGGUGAAGUCAGUGACUUUGAGAAAAAGUUAAAGGAUAUGAGUCAGGCAGUGGGACUACUUUAAACUAUGGCUGUUUAUGGAGCUUAUCUUGAUGCUAGCUAGUCCCGCGACAGUCAUCUCUCCUGAGAAACCAGGUAAAUUACUUUUAACUUGUGUAACCUUGUGAGCACUUUCAUGAUAAAUUCAUAAAAUCACUUUCUCCUGCUGCCACCUUUGUU
Long non-coding RNA from Lates calcarifer (barramundi perch), 1311 nucleotides. RefSeq lists it as uncharacterized. Lineage: Eukaryota; Metazoa; Chordata; Actinopteri; Centropomidae. The record is from RefSeq and is a predicted model, not a curated record. The transcript is spliced from 4 exons.